RNAcentral lists this signal recognition particle RNA (272 nucleotides) under Carlito syrichta (Philippine tarsier). RNAcentral's name for it is "Metazoan signal recognition particle RNA (ENSTSYG00000028214.1)". It matches the Rfam family "Metazoan signal recognition particle RNA". Rfam says of the family: The signal recognition particle (SRP) is a universally conserved ribonucleoprotein. It is involved in the co-translational targeting of proteins to membranes. The eukaryotic SRP consists of a 300-nucleotide 7S RNA and six proteins: SRPs 72, 68, 54, 19, 14, and 9. The record is from RNAcentral. Lineage: Eukaryota; Metazoa; Chordata; Mammalia; Primates; Tarsiidae.
GUUGAGUGCGGUAGCCCUCAUCUAUAGUCCCAGCUAGUGGAGAGAUUGAGGCAAGAUAAUCAUUUGAGCCCUGGAGUUCUGGGCUGUAGUGCACUAUGUCAACUGUUUGUUCUAACUAAGUUCAGCAUCAAUAUGGUGACCUCUCAGGAAUGGAGGAUCAGCAAAGGUGGGAAACAGAGCAGGUCAAAAUUCCUAUGCCGAUCAGUAGUGGGAUCAUGCCCAUGAGUGGUCACUGUGCUCCACCUUGGGUGACAUAUUGAGAACCCAUCUUU